Molecule: ribosomal RNA, 531 nt
Filed under: uncultured Flavobacterium sp.
Lineage: Bacteria; Pseudomonadati; Bacteroidota; Flavobacteriia; Flavobacteriales; Flavobacteriaceae
Description: bacterial SSU rRNA
Rfam family: Bacterial small subunit ribosomal RNA
Source: RNAcentral
AGAGACCGGCGCACGGGUGCGUAACGCGUAUGCAAUCUACCUUUCACAGAGGGAUAGCCCAGAGAAAUUUGGAUUAAUACCUCAUAGUAUAGCAGUUUCGCAUGAAACCACUAUUAAAGUCACAACGGUGAAAGAUGAGCAUGCGUCCCAUUAGCUAGUUGGUAAGGUAACGGCUUACCAAGGCAACGAUGGGUAGGGGUCCUGAGAGGGAGAUCCCCCACACUGGUACUGAGACACGGACCAGACUCCUACGGGAGGCAGCAGUGAGGAAUAUUGGACAAUGGGCGCAAGCCUGAUCCAGCCAUGCCGCGUGCAGGAUGACGGUCCUAUGGAUUGUAAACUGCUUUUGUACAGGAAGAAACCCUUUCACGUGUGGAAGAUUGACGGUACUGUAAGAAUAAGGAUCGGCUAACUCCGUGCCAGCAGCCGCGGUAAUACGGAGGAUCCAAGCGUUAUCCGGAAUCAUUGGGUUUAAAGGGUCCGUAGGCGGUCAGAUAAGUCAGUGGUGAAAGCCCAUCGCUCAACGGUGGA